CCUAGCCCUAAACGAUGCAGACUAGACGUCGGCGGUGUAAUAGCUGUCGGUGUCCAAGCUAACGCGAUAAGUCUGCCGCCUGGGGACUACGGCCGCAAGGUUAAAACUCAAAGGAAUUGACGGGUCCCCGCACAAGCAGCGGAGCGUGUGGUUUAAUUCGUUGCUACACGAAGAACCUUACCUGGGUUUGACAUAGCAGUGGUAGGAAAGUGAAAACGGACCGACCCUUCGGGGAGCUGUUACAGGUGUUGCAUGGCUGUCGUCAGCUCGUGUCGUGAGAUGUUCGGUUAAGUCCGCUAACGAGCGCAACCCGUGUUGUGUGUUACAAGUGUCACACAAUACCGCCGGUAUUAAGCCGGAGGAAGGUACGGAUGACGUCAAGUCAGCAUGACCUUUAUAUCCAGGGCUACACACACGCUACAAUGGACAGUACAACAGGUUGCCAAGCCGCGAGGCGGAGCCAAUCCCAUAAAGCUGUCCUCAGUUCAGAUUGUAGGCUGCAACUCGCCUGCAUGAAGUCGGAGUUGCUAGUAAACGCAGGUCAGCUAUAC
RNAcentral lists this ribosomal RNA (551 nucleotides) under uncultured bacterium. RNAcentral describes it as "bacterial SSU rRNA". It matches the Rfam family "Bacterial small subunit ribosomal RNA", at positions 795 to 1357 of the family's 1533-position model. The record is from RNAcentral.